GUGCCAGCCGCCGCGGUAAUACGUAGGGGGCGAGCGUUGUCCGGAAUUACUGGGCGUAAAGGGCGUGUAGGCGGCUAAUUAAGUCAGAUGUGAAAGGCCCCGGCUUAACCGGGGUAUUGCAUUUGAAACUGGUUAGCUUGAGUGCAGGAGAGGAAAGUGGAAUUCCUAGUGUAGCGGUGAAAUGCGUAGAUAUUAGGAGGAACACCAGUGGCGAAGGCGACUUUCUGGACUGUAACUGACGCUGAGGCGCGAAAGCGUGGGUAGCGAACAGGAUUAGAUACCCUGGUAGUCCACGCUGUAAACGAUGGAUACUAGGUGUAGGGGGUAUCGAAACCCUCUGUGCCGGAGUAAACGCAAUAAGUAUCCCGCCUGGGGAGUACGGCCGCAAGGUUGAAACUCAAAUGAAUUGGCGG
This 413-nucleotide ribosomal RNA is filed under the name uncultured bacterium. Its description in RNAcentral is "bacterial SSU rRNA". It matches the Rfam family "Bacterial small subunit ribosomal RNA", at positions 505 to 916 of the family's 1533-position model. The record is from RNAcentral.